AACGAACGCUGGCGGCAUGCUAACACAUGCAAGUCGAACGAAGGCUUCGGCCUUAGUGGCGCACGGGUGCGUAACGCGUGGGAAUCUGCCCUUGGGUUCGGAAUAACAGUUAGAAAUGACUGCUAAUACCGGAUGAUGACGAAAGUCCAAAGAUUUAUCGCCCAGGGAUGAGCCCGCGUAGGAUUAGGUAGUUGGUGGGGUAAAGGCCUACCAAGCCGACGAUCCUUAGCUGGUCUGAGAGGAUGAUCAGCCACACUGGGACUGAGACACGGCCCAGACUCCUACGGGAGGCAGCAGUGGGGAAUAUUGGACAAUGGGCGAAAGCCUGAUCCAGCAAUGCCGCGUGAGUGAUGAAGGCCUUAGGGUCGUAAAGCUCUUUUACCAGGGAUGAUAAUGACAGUACCUGGAGAAUAAGCUCCGGCUAACUCCGUGCCAGCAGCCGCGGUAAUACGGAGGGAGCUAGCGUUGUUCGGAAUUACUGGGCGUAAAGCGCACGUAGGCGGUUAUUCAAGUCAGAGGUGAAAGCCCGGGGCUCAACCCCGGAACUGCCUUUGAAACUAGAUGACUGGAAUCUUGGAGAGGUCAGUGGAAUUCCGAGUGUAGAGGUGAAAUUCGUAGAUAUUCGGAAGAACACCAGUGGCGAAGGCGACUGACUGGACAAGUAUUGACGCUGAGGUGCGAAA
Molecule: ribosomal RNA, 683 nt
Filed under: uncultured Alphaproteobacteria bacterium
Lineage: Bacteria; Pseudomonadati; Pseudomonadota; Alphaproteobacteria
Description: bacterial SSU rRNA
Rfam family: Bacterial small subunit ribosomal RNA
Source: RNAcentral